This 82-nucleotide transfer RNA is filed under the name Cerataphis brasiliensis yeast-like symbiont. Its description in RNAcentral is "tRNA-Leu (TAG) (tRNA-Leu-TAG-1-1)". It matches the Rfam family "tRNA". Rfam says of the family: Transfer RNA (tRNA) molecules are approximately 80 nucleotides in length. Their secondary structure includes four short double-helical elements and three loops (D, anti-codon, and T loops). The record is from RNAcentral. Lineage: Eukaryota; Fungi; Ascomycota.
GGGUAUUUGGCCGAGAGGUUAAGGCGUUGCGUUUAGGCCGCAAUGGGUUCCACCCGCGCAGGUUCGAAUCCUGCAGUGCCCA